This is a long non-coding RNA of Amphiprion ocellaris (clown anemonefish), 738 nucleotides long. RefSeq lists it as uncharacterized. The record is from RefSeq and is a predicted model, not a curated record. The transcript is spliced from 4 exons. NCBI's taxonomy places the organism in Eukaryota, Metazoa, Chordata, Actinopteri, Pomacentridae.
CCGUCUUUUACCGUCUUCGUGUCGCAGCUUCUUUUCUCCGUCUGAAUGAAACAUGAGUGAAGACACAGAUUCUCGGACAGGAAGUGCAGCUGUAACCACAUGAACAGGAAGUGCAGAUGCAGUCCUUCAGCAGUUGGAUUCACUGCAGAAAUACAGACCAACCAACAGCUGGAAGACAAACCAACAUCUGGACGUCCAAGAGUUUCUUCAGCAAGAAAUGACCUCAUCCUGAUCCACAUGGAAAUUUUCUUUUAACGUCAAACAGAGUCGUAACCUGCAUGGUCAGAAAAUAAAAGUGAUCCAGAGAACAGACCUGGUCCUGAGAAUCACUUUAUGUAACAAAACACAACACAGGAGACACGAUGACAUCAGAGGUGCUCUUGAACAUCCUGGAUGAUCUGGAUGAUGAUCAGCUGUCUAAAUUCCAGUGGUUCCUGCAGAAACCCAACAAUGUUCAAGGCCUCCCAGCCAUCACAAAGAGCCGACUACAGACACUAGACAGGUGUAAAACUGUGGAUGUGAUGGUGGAGACUUAUGGACUUCAGAGAGCUGUGCAGGUGACCAGGGUGGUUUUAGAGAAGAUCUCCAGGAAUGAUCUGCUGCAGAGGUUUCCUGCCAGCAGCUCAGGACCAGAAGGUCAGUCACAAGACAAGAACAACAUGAUAUCAUUACAGUCAGAAAGAUGCAUGAUGGUGCUGCUACAGUUUGAUAGAGUUCAGGUUCUGUCAGUUUUUCGAG